UACGAAGGGGGCUAGCGUUGCUCGGAAUCACUGGGCGUAAAGCGCACGUAGGCGGAUUGUUAAGUCAGGGGUGAAAUCCUGGAGCUCAACUCCAGAACUGCCUUUGAUACUGGCGAUCUCGAGUCCGGGAGAGGUGAGUGGAACUGCGAGUGUAGAGGUGAAAUUCGUAUAUAUUCGCAAGAACACCAGUGGCGAAGGCGGCUCACUGGCCCGGUACUGACGCUGAGGUGCGAAAGCGUGGGGAGCAAACAGG
This 253-nucleotide ribosomal RNA is filed under the name uncultured bacterium. RNAcentral describes it as "partial 16S ribosomal RNA". It matches the Rfam family "Bacterial small subunit ribosomal RNA", at positions 524 to 776 of the family's 1533-position model. The record is from RNAcentral.